Molecule: ribosomal RNA, 2927 nt
Filed under: Escherichia coli
Lineage: Bacteria; Pseudomonadati; Pseudomonadota; Gammaproteobacteria; Enterobacterales; Enterobacteriaceae
Description: bacterial LSU rRNA
Rfam family: Bacterial large subunit ribosomal RNA
Source: RNAcentral
GGGUUGUGAGGUUAAGCGACUAAGCGUACACGGUGGAUGCCCUGGCAGUCAGAGGCGAUGAAGGACGUGCUAAUCUGCGAUAAGCGUCGGUAAGGUGAUAUGAACCGUUAUAACCGGCGAUUUCCGAAUGGGGAAACCCAGUGUGAUUCGUCACACUAUCAUUAACUGAAUCCAUAGGUUAAUGAGGCGAACCGGGGGAACUGAAACAUCUAAGUACCCCGAGGAAAAGAAAUCAACCGAGAUUCCCCCAGUAGCGGCGAGCGAACGGGGAGCAGCCCAGAGCCUGAAUCAGUGUGUGUGUUAGUGGAAGCGUCUGGAAAGGCGCGCGAUACAGGGUGACAGCCCCGUACACAAAAAUGCACAUGCUGUGAGCUCGAUGAGUAGGGCGGGACACGUGGUAUCCUGUCUGAAUAUGGGGGGACCAUCCUCCAAGGCUAAAUACUCCUGACUGACCGAUAGUGAACCAGUACCGUGAGGGAAAGGCGAAAAGAACCCCGGCGAGGGGAGUGAAAAAGAACCUGAAACCGUGUACGUACAAGCAGUGGGAGCACGCUUAGGCGUGUGACUGCGUACCUUUUGUAUAAUGGGUCAGCGACUUAUAUUCUGUAGCAAGGUUAACCGAAUAGGGGAGCCGAAGGGAAACCGAGUCUUAACUGGGCGUUAAGUUGCAGGGUAUAGACCCGAAACCCGGUGAUCUAGCCAUGGGCAGGUUGAAGGUUGGGUAACACUAACUGGAGGACCGAACCGACUAAUGUUGAAAAAUUAGCGGAUGACUUGUGGCUGGGGGUGAAAGGCCAAUCAAACCGGGAGAUAGCUGGUUCUCCCCGAAAGCUAUUUAGGUAGCGCCUCGUGAAUUCAUCUCCGGGGGUAGAGCACUGUUUCGGCAAGGGGGUCAUCCCGACUUACCAACCCGAUGCAAACUGCGAAUACCGGAGAAUGUUAUCACGGGAGACACACGGCGGGUGCUAACGUCCGUCGUGAAGAGGGAAACAACCCAGACCGCCAGCUAAGGUCCCAAAGUCAUGGUUAAGUGGGAAACGAUGUGGGAAGGCCCAGACAGCCAGGAUGUUGGCUUAGAAGCAGCCAUCAUUUAAAGAAAGCGUAAUAGCUCACUGGUCGAGUCGGCCUGCGCGGAAGAUGUAACGGGGCUAAACCAUGCACCGAAGCUGCGGCAGCGACGCUUAUGCGUUGUUGGGUAGGGGAGCGUUCUGUAAGCCUGCGAAGGUGUGCUGUGAGGCAUGCUGGAGGUAUCAGAAGUGCGAAUGCUGACAUAAGUAACGAUAAAGCGGGUGAAAAGCCCGCUCGCCGGAAGACCAAGGGUUCCUGUCCAACGUUAAUCGGGGCAGGGUGAGUCGACCCCUAAGGCGAGGCCGAAAGGCGUAGUCGAUGGGAAACAGGUUAAUAUUCCUGUACUUGGUGUUACUGCGAAGGGGGGACGGAGAAGGCUAUGUUGGCCGGGCGACGGUUGUCCCGGUUUAAGCGUGUAGGCUGGUUUUCCAGGCAAAUCCGGAAAAUCAAGGCUGAGGCGUGAUGACGAGGCACUACGGUGCUGAAGCAACAAAUGCCCUGCUUCCAGGAAAAGCCUCUAAGCAUCAGGUAACAUCAAAUCGUACCCCAAACCGACACAGGUGGUCAGGUAGAGAAUACCAAGGCGCUUGAGAGAACUCGGGUGAAGGAACUAGGCAAAAUGGUGCCGUAACUUCGGGAGAAGGCACGCUGAUAUGUAGGUGAAGUCCCUCGCGGAUGGAGCUGAAAUCAGUCGAAGAUACCAGCUGGCUGCAACUGUUUAUUAAAAACACAGCACUGUGCAAACACGAAAGUGGACGUAUACGGUGUGACGCCUGCCCGGUGCCGGAAGGUUAAUUGAUGGGGUUAGCGGUAACGCGAAGCUCUUGAUCGAAGCCCCGGUAAACGGCGGCCGUAACUAUAACGGUCCUAAGGUAGCGAAAUUCCUUGUCGGGUAAGUUCCGACCUGCACGAAUGGCGUAAUGAUGGCCAGGCUGUCUCCACCCGAGACUCAGUGAAAUUGAACUCGCUGUGAAGAUGCAGUGUACCCGCGGCAAGACGGAAAGACCCCGUGAACCUUUACUAUAGCUUGACACUGAACAUUGAGCCUUGAUGUGUAGGAUAGGUGGGAGGCUUUGAAGUGUGGACGCCAGUCUGCAUGGAGCCGACCUUGAAAUACCACCCUUUAAUGUUUGAUGUUCUAACGUUGACCCGUAAUCCGGGUUGCGGACAGUGUCUGGUGGGUAGUUUGACUGGGGCGGUCUCCUCCUAAAGAGUAACGGAGGAGCACGAAGGUUGGCUAAUCCUGGUCGGACAUCAGGAGGUUAGUGCAAUGGCAUAAGCCAGCUUGACUGCGAGCGUGACGGCGCGAGCAGGUGCGAAAGCAGGUCAUAGUGAUCCGGUGGUUCUGAAUGGAAGGGCCAUCGCUCAACGGAUAAAAGGUACUCCGGGGAUAACAGGCUGAUACCGCCCAAGAGUUCAUAUCGACGGCGGUGUUUGGCACCUCGAUGUCGGCUCAUCACAUCCUGGGGCUGAAGUAGGUCCCAAGGGUAUGGCUGUUCGCCAUUUAAAGUGGUACGCGAGCUGGGUUUAGAACGUCGUGAGACAGUUCGGUCCCUAUCUGCCGUGGGCGCUGGAGAACUGAGGGGGGCUGCUCCUAGUACGAGAGGACCGGAGUGGACGCAUCACUGGUGUUCGGGUUGUCAUGCCAAUGGCACUGCCCGGUAGCUAAAUGCGGAAGAGAUAAGUGCUGAAAGCAUCUAAGCACGAAACUUGCCCCGAGAUGAGUUCUCCCUGACUCCUUGAGAGUCCUGAAGGAACGUUGAAGACGACGACGUUGAUAGGCCGGGUGUGUAAGCGCAGCGAUGCGUUGAGCUAACCGGUACUAAUGAACCGUGAGGCUUAACCUUACAACGCCGAAG